RNAcentral lists this ribosomal RNA (200 nucleotides) under uncultured eukaryote. Its description in RNAcentral is "partial 18S ribosomal RNA". It matches the Rfam family "Eukaryotic small subunit ribosomal RNA", at positions 588 to 790 of the family's 1831-position model. The record is from RNAcentral.
GCUCCAAUAGCGUAUAUUAAAGUUGUUGCGGUUAAAAAGCUCGUAGUUGGAUUUCUGUUGAGAACAUGCGGUCCGUGUUUUGCACGAGUAUCGCCUUGGUCUCGGCAUCCUCUUGGGGAACGUUGCUGUGCUUUACUGCGCGGCACGGUAUUCAAGACUUUUUACUUUGAGGAAAUUAGAGUGUUCACGGCAGGCAAUCG